Molecule: long non-coding RNA, 445 nt
Filed under: Sorghum bicolor (sorghum)
Lineage: Eukaryota; Viridiplantae; Streptophyta; Magnoliopsida; Poales; Poaceae
Description: long non-coding RNA (SBIC_LNC002048)
Source: RNAcentral
GACUCGUCUUGUCGUGCUAAGUGUGUGCAGGAACAAACAAUCGGCGGAGGCCCACAAGCAGAGAAAGGUGGAACCUCCGAUCCUCCCAAGUCCGAGGAUGGCUGAGGACGCGGCGGAGGUAAGGAACCUCCGACGCGCCCAGCCUGAGGGACCUCCGACGGAGAAGCGUCGAAGGAUCGGCAACCGAGCGAGCCAAGGAACCUCUAGGACAGCUGAGCCGAGGAACCCCCGACGCGUCCGAGCUUAGGAACCUCCGACACAUGAAGUGUCGAAGGAUCCGCGACCGGGCGGAGGAUCCAAGCCUCCGACCGGCUGAAACCCUAGACAGGGGACACGCGUGGGGUUUGUAAUGCGAAAUUACACGAGUGACUUGGAGUCGGUAGACUGUAAUAGGAGAAUAUGCUGGGAUAUUCCCCCACCGUCACGGGGCAUUUUUGUAAAUGUC